UGUUAAAAAUUUAAUCCAUUCAUGCUGUUAAAAACUAGUGUGACUGACGGAAUAACCAGACAGUUACACUUGGUGUACCACGUGUACCUCAUGCUGAUGUACAUGGACCAAUUUUUAAUAGUAUAAAUGGAUGAAAUUUAUAACA
Non-coding RNA from Gossypium raimondii (Peruvian cotton), 145 nucleotides. The record is from Rfam. NCBI's taxonomy places the organism in Eukaryota, Viridiplantae, Streptophyta, Magnoliopsida, Malvales, Malvaceae.